GUGGGAUACUGUGGGAUCGUUGCCGUCGGAGCAGAUCCCCUUCGGUGAAAUAACGGCUGUGCUAAAGGAGGAGGGGAGCCGCCCGAUGACGCUGCGCUUCGAGCGGUACCCCCAGGUGAGAGGCGGUCACUGCUCACCGGGCCCGUGUCUGCACCCGCACGCCCACGGGUGGAAGCAAAAGGUUUGGGCCGCGGGUGAAAGCAAGCUAAGCAA
Molecule: ribosomal RNA, 213 nt
Filed under: uncultured Mantoniella
Lineage: Eukaryota; Viridiplantae; Chlorophyta; Mamiellophyceae; Mamiellales
Description: partial Bacterial small subunit ribosomal RNA
Source: RNAcentral